CUACGGGAGGCAGCAGUGGGGAAUCUUGCACAAUGGGGGAAACCCUGAUGCAGCGACGCCGCGUGAGCGAUGAAGCCCUUCGGGGUGUAAAGCUCUUUCGGCAGGGAAGACUUUGACGGUACCUGCAGAAGCAGCUGCGGCUAACUACGUGCCAGCAGCCGCGGUAAUACGUAGGCAGCAAGCGUUGUUCGGAGUUACUGGGCGUAAAGGGUGCGUAGGCGGUUCCCUAAGUUUGGUGUGAAAUCUCCCGGCUCAACUGGGAGGGUGCGCCGAAAACUGGGGGGCUAGAGUGUGGGAGAGGAGAGUGGAAUUCCUGGUGUAGCGGUGAAAUGCGUAGAUAUCAGGAGGAACACCGGUGGUGUAGACGGCUCUCUGGACCAUUACUGACGCUGAGGCACGAAGGCGUGGGUAGCAAACAGGAUUAGAAACCCGUGUAGUCC
This 440-nucleotide ribosomal RNA is filed under the name uncultured bacterium. RNAcentral describes it as "bacterial SSU rRNA". It matches the Rfam family "Bacterial small subunit ribosomal RNA", at positions 339 to 796 of the family's 1533-position model. The record is from RNAcentral.